This 484-nucleotide ribosomal RNA is filed under the name uncultured bacterium. RNAcentral describes it as "partial 16S ribosomal RNA". It matches the Rfam family "Bacterial small subunit ribosomal RNA", at positions 30 to 507 of the family's 1533-position model. The record is from RNAcentral.
AUUGAACGCUGGCGGCAGGCCUAACACAUGCAAGUCGAGCGGAUGAAGGGAGCUUGCUCCUGGAUUCAGCGGCGGACGGGUGAGUAAUGCCUAGGAAUCUGCCUGGUAGUGGGGGAUAACGUCCGGAAACGGGCGCUAAUACCGCAUACGUCCUGAGGGAGAAAGUGGGGGAUCUUCGGACCUCACGCUAUCAGAUGUGCCUAGGUCGGAUUAGCUAGUUGGUGGGGUAAAGGCCUACCAAGGCGACGAUCCGUAACUGGUCUGAGAGGAUGAUCAGUCACACUGGAACUGAGACACGGUCCAGACUCCUACGGGAGGCAGCAGUGGGGAAUAUUGGACAAAGGGCGAAAGCCUGAUCCAGCCAUGCCGCGUGUGUGAAGAAGGUCUUCGGAUUGUAAAGCACUUUAAGUUGGGAGGAAGGGCAGUAAGUUAAUACCUUGCUGUUUUGACGUUACCAACAGAAUAAGCACCGGCUAACUUCGUG